This 559-nucleotide ribosomal RNA is filed under the name Adexius scrobipennis. RNAcentral describes it as "eukaryotic LSU rRNA". It matches the Rfam family "Eukaryotic large subunit ribosomal RNA", at positions 284 to 645 of the family's 3401-position model. The record is from RNAcentral. Lineage: Eukaryota; Metazoa; Arthropoda; Insecta; Coleoptera; Curculionidae.
AGCCCUAAGUGGGUGGUAAACUCCAUCUAAGGCUAAAUAUGACCACGAGACCGAUAGCGAACAAGUACCGUGAGGGAAAGUUGAAAAGCACUUUGAAGAGAGAGUUCAAGAGUACGUGAAACCGUUUAGGGGUAAACCUGAGAAACCCGAAAGGUCGAAGGGAGAAAUUCAUUCGCGUUUCGCAGCAGGCGUUGAACGGUUGCGUGACGGAAAGCGUUCGCGCGUUUCCGCUCCUUCCGUUUUUCGAACCGGUGGCGAACGCGUGCACUUUUCUCCUGGUAGGACGUCGCGAUCCGUUGGGUGUCGGUCUACGGCUCGCGGUGGAGCCCGUCCGUCGUGUUAACGCACGCACGGGCGGACCCGCGUGUCCCGGCCGACUGGCUCGACGGUAUACGAAAGGUUCAAGGCCGCUCUUGGAGCGUUCGGCUCGUGGCAAGCGCGCCAGAUGCGUCGGCCAUCGGACCCCGUGCCGAUUCUGACCUCUGGUGACUGUUGGCCACGAAGUUCUCGGACAGACCUUAGGACCGACCUGCGACGCUAUAGCUUUGGGUACUUUCAG